AUCCUGAAACUGACAAGAGAGGCGCAUGCGUGUGCCUCUCCCCUUGCACUGCCCGGAGGGACUAUUUGUGGAGUUACUCGAUUCCUCAUCGCUGGACACAGCAGGGGGAGGUUUGGCAGCCUCCUUCCAGAAGCACCUCGCCUUGUGACCGCCUCCUCGGGUGGUGUUAGACAGCCUGGUUCAAAUGCAGCCGACUUCAGAGUGCGAGCAGGAAGUGCUACCGGAACAUGGAGUGAGCUGGGAAGCGAGGGGCCCCCUCUGUUGCCUCCUUCACUAGGCAUAGGCUAGUUGGAGUUGUUACUACGUUCGGGGUGCAGGAAGACCACAGUCAACUCCUCCUGACAAAUGGGAAGUCCUCCAGAGGCCUGAGCAUCAAGCACUCCUUCCUGAAUGAUCCCCCCCUGACAUAUGGCAAGACCAGCACCACCAUCAGCUCCCCAAAGGUCCAGAGCUUUGUGUGCCCACUGCUAACUGGGAAGUUGGCCAAGCAUGGAGGAAGAGAGGGACAAAGGCCAGGACCAACUGCGCCAGCUCCGAGUAAAAAUCCAAUGUGCACUGUAGAAAAGAAUAACAAUAGGGCUCUUUGAAGAGCCAUGUUCCAACUCUUGGCAAAGAGCUUUAUCCAUUUCAGCAACCCUUCAACUUGGAGUCUAGCGCACCCCUCUGGAUUGGGAGAUUUGCAGAAGUCGGAUACUUUUAGUGCAACCCACCGAUUAGACAUACUGGAGUGAACAGGAGAGUGACAUGGGGGACAGAAAUAACAUACAAAAACAAAAUUAGCUGGAAAAACUCAGCAGGUCUGGCAGCAUCUGCGGAGAGGGUUACAGUUAAUGUUUCGAGUCUGUAUGACUCUUCAUCAGAACUAAGGAAAAAUAGAAAUG
Long non-coding RNA from Carcharodon carcharias (great white shark), 881 nucleotides. RefSeq lists it as uncharacterized. Lineage: Eukaryota; Metazoa; Chordata; Chondrichthyes; Lamniformes; Lamnidae. The transcript is spliced from 3 exons. The record is from RefSeq and is a predicted model, not a curated record.